RNAcentral lists this long non-coding RNA (231 nucleotides) under Brachypodium distachyon (stiff brome). RNAcentral's name for it is "long non-coding RNA (BDIS_LNC004998)". Lineage: Eukaryota; Viridiplantae; Streptophyta; Magnoliopsida; Poales; Poaceae. The record is from RNAcentral.
GCCCGUUAUGUCCGUUCAUCUUCUUCUUGCUCCCCGGCAAAGCUCAGGUGGUGGUGGUGGUGGGCCACGAACGCGUAGGCCUGCGCCUCCUAUGAUGGGAAGCAGCCCCAGGCCAUGGGACGCGCCUGCAACUCCUCCCAGAACGAGGAUGGCACCAGCUCCUGUUCCUCGCGCGGGCGCUUCCCGAGGAGGGAGACAGAGGCUGAGGGAGAGGAGGAGCCUGGCCGCGCG